Molecule: non-coding RNA, 46 nt
Organism: Picea glauca (white spruce)
Lineage: Eukaryota; Viridiplantae; Streptophyta; Pinopsida; Pinales; Pinaceae
Source: Rfam
GUAAUGGUGUCUUUAGACACCACCUUUGUUUUUCAAAAAAAUUCCC